RNAcentral lists this ribosomal RNA (767 nucleotides) under Enterococcus faecium. Its description in RNAcentral is "partial 23S ribosomal RNA". It matches the Rfam family "Bacterial large subunit ribosomal RNA", at positions 12 to 781 of the family's 2925-position model. The record is from RNAcentral. Lineage: Bacteria; Bacillati; Bacillota; Bacilli; Lactobacillales; Enterococcaceae.
AUAAGGGCGCACGGUGGAUGCCUUGGCACUAGGAGCCGAUGAAGGACGGGACUAACACCGAUAUGCUUUGGGGAGCUGUACGUAAGCUAUGAUCCAGAGAUUUCCGAAUGGGGGAACCCAACAUCUUUAAUAGGAUGUUACGAUUGUGUGAAUACAUAGCACAUUCGAGGUAGACGCAGAGAACUGAAACAUCUAAGUACCUGCAGGAAGAGAAAGAAAAUUCGAUUCCCUGAGUAGCGGCGAGCGAAACGGGAAAAGCCCAAACCAGCAAGCUUGCUUGUUGGGGUUGUAGGACUCCAAUAUGGUAGUUCUUUCAGAUAGUCGAAUGACUUGGAAAAGUCAGUCAAAGAGGGUAAAAACCCCGUAGACGAAAUGUGGAAGACACCUAGGAGGAUCCUGAGUACGGCGGAACACGAGAAAUUCCGUCGGAAUCCGGGAGGACCAUCUCCCAAGGCUAAAUACUCCCUAGUGACCGAUAGUGAACCAGUACCGUGAGGGAAAGGUGAAAAGCACCCCGGAAGGGGAGUGAAAUAGAACCUGAAACCGUGUGCCUACAACAAGUCAAAGCCCGUUAAUGGGUGAUGGCGUGCCUUUUGUAGAAUGAACCGGCGAGUUACGAUUGCAUGCGAGGUUAAGUUGAAGAGACGGAGCCGCAGCGAAAGCGAGUCUGAAUAGGGCGUUUGAGUAUGUAGUCGUAGACCCGAAACCAUGUGAUCUACCCAUGUCCAGGUUGAAGGUGCGGUAAAACGCACUGGAGGACCGAACCC